UGGAUCCAGACUUUGAUUCUGGCUCAGGAUGAACGCUAGCGACAGGCUUAACACAUGCAAGUCGAGGGGCAGCGGGGAGGAAAGCUUGCUUUCCUCCGCCGGCGACCGGCGCACGGGUGAGUAACACGUAUGCAACCUGCCCUUGACAGGGGGAUAACCCGGAGAAAUCCGGACUAAUACCGCAUAACGCUGAGAAGAGACAUCUCUCCGCAGCCAAAGGAAGCGAUUCCGGUCAAGGAUGGGCAUGCGUCGCAUUAGCUGGUUGGCGGGGUAAAGGCCCACCAAGGCGACGAUGCGUAGGGGUUCUGAGAGGAAGGUCCCCCACAUUGGUACUGAGACACGGACCAAACUCCUACGGGAGGCAGCAGUGAGGAAUAUUGGUCAAUGGGCGCGAGCCUGAACCAGCCAAGUCGCGUGAGGGAAGACGGUCCUAUGGAUUGUAAACCUCUUUAGUCGGGGAGCAAGAGGCGGUACGUGUACCGUCAGCGAGAGUACCCGAAGAAUAAGCAUCGGCUAACUCCGUGCCAGCAGCCGCGGUAAUACGGAGGAUGCGAGCGUUAUCCGGAUUUAUUGGGUUUAAAGGGUGCGUAGGCGGAUUGUUAAGUCAGCGGUCAAAUAAUGGGGCUCAACCCCGUUUCGCCGUUGAAACUGGCAGUCUUGAGUGGGCGAGAAGUAUGCGGAAUGCGUGGUGUAGCGGUGAAAUGCAUAGAUAUCACGCAGAACUCCGAUUGCGAAGGCAGCAUACCGGCGCCCGACUGACGCUGAGGCACGAAAGCGUGGGGAUCGAACAGGCUUAGAUACCCUGGUAGUCCACGCAGUAAACGAUGAAUGCUAGCUGUCCGGGGCUUCGGUUCUGGGUGGCACAGCGAAAGCGUUAAGCAUUCCACCUGGGGAGUACGCCGGCAACGGUGCAACUCAAAUGAAUUGACGGA
Molecule: ribosomal RNA, 932 nt
Filed under: uncultured Bacteroidota bacterium
Lineage: Bacteria; Pseudomonadati; Bacteroidota
Description: bacterial SSU rRNA
Rfam family: Bacterial small subunit ribosomal RNA
Source: RNAcentral